RNAcentral lists this ribosomal RNA (468 nucleotides) under uncultured bacterium. Its description in RNAcentral is "partial 16S ribosomal RNA". It matches the Rfam family "Bacterial small subunit ribosomal RNA", at positions 28 to 507 of the family's 1533-position model. The record is from RNAcentral.
GACGAACGCUGGCGGCGGGCUUAACACAUGCAAGUCGAACGGAAAGGCCCUGCUUUUGUGCUGUUCUCGAGUGGCGAUCGGGUGAGUAACACGUGUGUAACCUGCUCUUGACUUUGGGAUAACUUCAGGUAACUGGGGCUAAUACCGUAUAGCAUCUCCUCUUCCAUUGUGGGGGUGGGAACGUUUAGGCUUUUGGGGAUGGACGCGCGGCUUAUCAGCUUGUUGGUUGGGUAGUGGCUUACCAAGGCUUUGGAGGGUAGCCGGCCUGUGAGGGUGACCAGCCACAUUAGGACUGAGGUACGGAGCAGAGUCCAACAGGAGGCAGCAGUGGGAAAUAUUGCACAAUGGGCGGACGUGUGAUGAAGAAACGCCGCGUGCGGGAUGACGGCCUUCGGGUAGUAAAAAGCAUUCGGCUGUGACGAAGCGUGAGUGACGGUAAUGGGUAAAGAAGCACCGGCUAACUACGUG